CGACACUACUGAUAAUUGAUACACGACAGUGAAGGCGAAGCCUAACAAUCACGGCACAAAGCCAACCCACCUUCUGUAAAAAUAUACUUCCGUACUUCGGACGUCUAGCCUUUUUCUCCUUUUCUCACCGCCUCCACUUUCCUCAGACUUUACAAAUAUCCCUCUCUCUCUCAUGCACCUUGCCUAACUCAUCAAUGGCGCCUUUUGUUAUACGGUCUCUUGUUAACCUUCCGGGCCAAAUCGCCGUUAAACACUUGCCAACUGAUCAAUUUCCCAGAAUUGAAAUCAAAUUGCCGCUGAUUUUGGUUAAACCGCGACAUAAUACGAUUGUUUUGGCCUCUCUUCAUGGAGAAAACGAGAGAGCAAUCGAGGCUGACGGGAAGAACACUCAGGCUGCUCUUCAAUUGCAGGAUUCUCCUUACGACGUCGUUUCCAGAGAUGCGCUUCCGAGUAGAGUUGCCCUUUCUUUAUUGUUUGAUUAUACAACAAAACGAUUUUGUAUCUUUGAAAAAUUUUUUUUUUGGUUUUUUUAUUAGGGCCGUUAUCGUCUUCUCAAUCCUCCAGUUCGGUCUCUGAUGGGUCACGUCUUCGCGUUGCUUACCAGGGAGUUCGUGGCGCGUACAGCGAAUCAGCGGCUGAGAAAGCCUAUCCGAAUUGCGAAGCAGUACCGUGUGAGCAAUUUGACGCGGCUUUUGAGAGAACGUUCCCUAGAAUUGGAAAAAUGUUUGGAGGCAGCUGCUAGGUGAGAAAACAAAUCUUUUGUUGGACGAAAUGCUUGCUUCUGCUCAACUUAGGGAUUUCAAAGCAAUCCAAGCAUGCUAUCUAUGUUUUGAACGGCUGUUGAACGAUGGCUUGUGGACAGAGCAGUGUUGCCCAUUGAGAAUUCCUUAGGUGGGAGCAUCCACAGAAAUUAUGACCUUUUGCUCCGUCAUAGACUGCAUAUAGUAGGGGAAGUGAAAUAUGCUGUUCGCCAUUGCUUACUAGCCAAUCAUGGUGUUAAAGUUGAAGACUUGAAGAGGGUCCUAAGUCAUCCGCAGGCCCUUGCUCAAUGUGAGCAUACAUUAACAAGUUUGGGAUUGGUUAGAGAAGCAGUGGAUGAUACUGCUGGUGCAGCAAAGGUAGGCCUUAAUUUGGUAGUUGGUUAGCCCAUUUCUCUUCUCAUGUGAGUUUUAGAGACUUGAUUUCAUUUGCAGUCACUAAACUUGUCUCUAGUGUUCAUUAAAGUCUUUAAAUUUAAUUUCUCUUAAAAAAAAAUCAGUUAAUCACUGGGACAAAAUUUCAGCCAAAUUCAAUCUAUAAGUUUGACGUGGAAAACAGUUUGGACUUUCCAAAUAUGUUUUACAUAUAAAGGGAGUUAUUCAAAACAACUCUCUAAAAGACAUGAACAAAAAACUUGUGUACAGAGAGAGUGGUAAAUAGAAAAGAUGAAGAUCUUUUCAUCUCAUAUCUUUACCCGUAAAGAGAGAAGGGAGGAAAGAAAGAAAAGGUCUACUAACGAGUCCACUAUUGGUUUAAAUUUGGUUGGAUAUUGGUCCUAGUGUUUUGAUUGUUACAAAAAUCAAGGUUGAGUGAUUUUUAAGAGAAAUUGAAACUUUGUAUGAUGGGAGUAUUUGUGGUGCAUUCUAAGAACGGUCUUAUGCAUUUCUAGGAUUGCUGGGAACCACUUUUAGUAGCAAACUACGAGGAAGCUCAUGGGUCAACCCUGUGUAGUUAAUUCUCUUGUUUAGUGUGAUCAGAUAUUGGAGUCUUGGUUUCAGAUGAUUACAUUUUAUGAAUUACGGCCAUUCAUGGCCUUUGAGUUGUUGCAAUUAAAUGAUUUACUCUAAUCAUGUAGCAUGUUGCGCUUCACAAACUGAAAGACACAGGAGCUGUUGCUAGUUCUGUGGCUGCAAAGAUUUAUGGGUUGAAUAUAUUAGCUGAAGAUAUUCAGGAUGAUUGUGAUAAUGUUACUCGGUUUCUGAUGCUAGCCAGGGAGCCAAUAAUUCCAGGAACGGACAGGCCAUUCAAGGUUUUUCCUUUCAUAAUACUAAGUACUGGUUAUUAAGAUCUUGAUAUCAAUAUUGUUACUUCUAUUGCUGAGUUUUACUUAUGAAUGCGGUUCUUGAGAUCUCAGACGAGCAUUGUUUUUUCACUUGAGGAGGGUCCUGGAGUGCUAUUCAAAGCACUUGCUGUUUUUGCUUUGCGGCAAAUCAACCUUACUAAGAUUGAGAGUCGUCCAUUGCGGAAUCAGCCCUUGAGAGCAUCUGAUGAUAGCGACAAUGGGUUUCCAAAAUACUUUGACUAUCUUUUCUAUGUGGAUUUUGAGGCAUCAAUGGCCGACCAGAAUGCACAGAAUGCCCUCAAGCACCUGAAGGAGUUUGCGACUUUCUUACGAGUUUUGGGGAGUUAUCCAGUGGAUUCUAGCAUGAUAUAAAUGAUCCUCUAACACGGUAACAACCCAAUAUCUAUGUUCCUCUUAACUGUUGACUAGCAGAUAAAUUGUUAGGCUUGUGUAAGGUGGUUCUGUGGUCAAAGCAAAGCUCUCUCUUUUAAUAAAUUAUGGAGACAAUUAUAUAAAUUAUUUAAAAUUUGUACAGUCCCACAUCGUUCUGCAUAAUCUGCACAACCACUUAGCAAGCUUCCUUUGUCACAUAUUAUCUGAGGAACUGAUUUGGAGUUUGGACUAAUGUCUUCAAUGACCGUAGCUAAGGGUUGCUGAUAUGGUCUCUUAAUUUCAGUUGGCCCUAUUCAUAUGAUGUUAAUUGUUGAUUUCAACCCCCCAGGCCAUUCAAAUUUCUCUGGCCUUUUAUUCUCUUUUACCCAUUUCUAUGAGUGCUAGGUGGUUCUGUGAAAAUUUUUACCUGGUUUUAUUUAUGUGUGACUUUAGUGAUUCAAAUUUUGUGCAUAUUUUAUUUGUUUCUUGCCAUUUUGGGGUUGGGCUGUGUUUUUAAGAUGUCCAAAUUUGUUAAAACACAUUGACAGGCAAAUGUUUUCUUGAUGGUUUUUGUUUUCAUUCAGUUUUAUGAGCUUUCAUUUUGAUGCUAGUAGUAGUGCUGAUGCAGGGGCCUGGAGGAGAAAAACUACCCUGAUAAGAAUGGAAGCACUGAUGAUAUUCCUUUUUCAAAUUUAUCACUAAAUGGAUGCUGCAAAACUUGAUCUAUCGCCAUUUCAUCCAAUUUUGUAGUGUCUUCUCAAUACUGCAUAUGUAAUUAAGAGUUAAUCGGGUAUUUUUAUAGAGUUUGUUAUUUCUUUCGUGCUUGGCAAUUUUUUCUGUGGGUUCACUUACGUGUCACCAAUGUUGGGCAUGACAUACCAAAAUGCUGUACAAGAGAAGUUACAAAUUCAAAUUCUUUCUUUCCUUUUUAGUGUUUGAUUACAAUAGGGUACUUGAUCGAUCAAUACAUUUAUUCGUGACAACUCAUGUUUGAGGUUCUUCAUUGCAUGUGCAUCACGGUAAGACUUUAUUUGCUUUCCAUAAGACUUCUAAUCAGAAGUAGAAUUUCAUUUCGCAUCGCAGCAACAGCAGCUGGAGUAAACCUGCUCCUUCAAAACAGAAAACCAUAGACCAUCUGUGUCUUUGUGGUCACAGCUUUCAUUCCAGUAGCAUAUGGGCCCUUGCAAUGGCUGUAACACAUAAGCUACGAUUACAACCAUUCACCUGCUGAGGUGAAUAAGGGUCUGUUUGGUUUAACUGU
This 3674-nucleotide unclassified non-coding RNA is filed under the name Hevea brasiliensis (rubber tree). The record is from RNAcentral. Lineage: Eukaryota; Viridiplantae; Streptophyta; Magnoliopsida; Malpighiales; Euphorbiaceae.